Long non-coding RNA from Dicentrarchus labrax (European seabass), 582 nucleotides. RefSeq lists it as uncharacterized. The transcript has 2 exons. NCBI's taxonomy places the organism in Eukaryota, Metazoa, Chordata, Actinopteri, Moronidae. The record is from RefSeq and is a predicted model, not a curated record.
AUAGACAUAGGGCUGUCAUGCGGCAGUUAAUUGCACCUGCUGACCAUUGGGGCGGCAGUAUAUAAGUACGGCCCUCCUUCUCGCACGCUCACUAACGCAUCAUUUCCGGGUCAGGUGUUUGCCUGUGCAGGUAAUGCUCCAUGCCGCUGCUGCGGCUACUGCUCUGUUUCAUCUUUUACUGUGUCCUGUUGCUUAAAGCCUGCGUGUUUUCACUGCAGAGCAGCGACCGAGUGCCCCGUGCUUUGUGCUCCAUGCUCCGUUUAGACCUUGGUUCUCUCUGGCGGUGGUAAGUGUCCUCUCUCUCUGUGUUACACCGAAUGCUAUCCUGUAGCUAACGCUAGUGUGGUCACAGGUAGAUGUCCGCUGCCGUGUGGGUCUCUCUCUCCCUCCCUCUCCCUGUGCAGGUUUGACUUUGAAAACAGGCAUCUGCACGAAUUUAAAGAGACAAAGCAGCAGUGGUUUCCAGUGGACCUUCGUGCCAGUUUUGGUGAGAUUUGGUAUAGCAGAUUAGGCCUAGGUAGUAGUUUGAGCUUUAUUGUAGCUAUGGAGGAAGAGUUACAGGAACUUAGAGAUCUGAUUAAA